Molecule: ribosomal RNA, 993 nt
Filed under: Triticum aestivum (bread wheat)
Lineage: Eukaryota; Viridiplantae; Streptophyta; Magnoliopsida; Poales; Poaceae
Description: partial small subunit ribosomal RNA
Source: RNAcentral
AUGAGCUCCGGGAUGGGGAAGGUGGUGUGCGUCACCGGCGGCUUGGGCUACAUCGCCUCCUGGCUCGUCAAGCUCCUCCUCCACCGCGGCUACACCGUCUGUGCCACCGUCAGGGACACCGCCGACCCCAAGAAAACGUUGCACCUGCAGGCCCUGGAUGGAGCCAAGGAUAGGCUGCACUUGUUCAAAGCAAGCUUGUUAGAAGAAGGCUCCUUCGAUGCUGCCAUCGCGGGUUCUGACUGUGUGUUCCACACGGCUUCUCCCUUUUAUCACAAUGUCAAGGAUCCCAAGGCUGAGUUACUUGACCCAGCAGUCAAUGGAACACUCAAUGUUCUCCGUUCCUGCAAAAAAGCCUCAAUCAAGAGAGUGAUCAUAACGUCGUCCAUGGCUGCUGUUGCCUACAAUGGGAAGCCCAGAACACCUGAUGUAGUAGUUGAUGAGACAUGGUUUUCAAGUGCAGAGGUCUGUGAAAAGAAUGAGCAAUGGUAUGUGCUAUCCAAGACCCUUGCUGAGGAAGCUGCAUGGAAGUUUGCAAAUGAUAAUGGAUUUGAAAUAGUUACAAUAAACCCAGCUAUGGUCAUCGGUCCUCUGUUGCAGCCUACACUGAAUACUAGCGCAGAGGCAAUAUUGAAGUUUAUAAAUGGAUCAUCUUCUACAUACCCCAAUUUCAGCUUUGGAUGGAUAAAUGUUAAAGAUGUUGCCCUGGCACAUAUUCUUGCAUAUGAAGUUCCUUCAGCAAACGGAAGAUACUGUAUGGUUGAAAGAGUUGCUCACCACUCGGAGAUUGUCAAGAUCAUACAUGAAAUGUACCCCAACUUUCCAGUGCCAGAAAAGUGUGCAGAUGACGCACCAUUUGUCCCUAUCUACCAGGUAUCGAAGGACAAGAUAAGAAGUUUGGGCAUGGAGCUGAUUCCCCUGGAGACGAGCCUCAAGGAGACUAUUGAGAGCUUGAGAGAGAAAGGAUUUGUUACUUCUGAGUCGAGCCAUCUGUGA